CUUAGCAUUUUUCUUUCCAAAAACUAAAUAUCAAUAUUUCAAUAUUUUCAACCACACCACCAAAAGCCAUAACUGAAACUGAACAUGGCUUCAUUAAUGGCUUCCGGUGGCUCUGACAGUGACUCCACAAUACAAAGACAUAGACACAGCCUUGGCCGUUGGUUGAGCGGGCGCACUCCUCACUGCUCCUCUCUCUCAUUAAAUGUUCUACCUCCUCCUCCUUCGAAGUUUCAAACCCACUCUCUUUUCGCAGAGUACUCUUAAUUUUCAGUUUUGUUUGUUGGGUCUUUGAAGUUCGCAAUUUUGGUUGGUGGGUUUUCUUGAGUUGCUGAAAUUUUUAAUCUUGGUAGAGAAAAGAAGAAUUAUCAGAGAAAUGGUGGAGACCAAGACGGAGAAGAAUUUCCAUUGACGACCAUGAAGUUGUUAUCUGUAACUAAAACGGCAAUGGGGGCGAGAGCCCAAGUCGGCGCCUUUGCCGUAGCGUUAAUCUUGUUCGUGAUUCAGAGUGGUUUUGCGCAGCAGGGUUCUUUGAGCUCCGACAUGGAGCGGUCGGCGUUACUGGAGCUCCGGUCUUCGUUGGGUCUCAGAAGCAAAAACUGGCCCAGAAAGGCCGACCCAUGUUCAUCCUGGACCGGAGUCACAUGCAGCAAGAACGGCCGUGUCACUGGAAUUACCGUGUCCGGUUUGAGGCGAACCCGAGUGGGCCAGCAAAACCCCCGGUUCUCCGUCGAUUCACUGGCUAAUAUCACCCUCUUGGCUUCUUUCAACGCCUCCGGGUUCGCGCUUCCUGGGUCCAUACCCGACUGGUUUGGCCAAAGACUUGGUGCACUCCAGGUGCUCGACCUUAGGUCUGCGUCAGUCAUUGGUUCUAUUCCCCAGUCGCUUGGUAAUUUGAAAAAUCUUACUUCUUUGUAUUUAUCUGGCAAUGAUAUUACUGGGAUUUUACCUUCUGCGUUGAUAAACAUAACAGAGUUGGAAAUUCUUGAUCUUUCGAGGAAUGCGAUUACUGGGUCCAUACCUUCUGGCUUUGCCAAUCUUGGAAAGCUUGAAAGUCUUGACCUUUCUUCAAAUUUCUUAUCUGGGUCGGUUUCACCAGGUUUGGGAACCCUUUCAAGGCUUAAGUUCUUGGACUUGUCUGAUAAUAGUCUCACCGAUUCGAUUCCGGUUCAGUUUAGUAACCUUUCCCGGUUGGUUGAGCUUGAUCUUAGCAAGAACACUUUGUCUGGGUCAUUGCCUGUGGAACUGAGAGGGUUGAGGAGUUUGAGGAGGAUGGGUAUUGGAGAUAAUGCUCUGGAAGGUCCAUUGCCGGAGGGUUUGUUUUCGAGUCUUGUUCAGCUGGAAGUUCUGGUUCUGAGUCGGAAUAAAUUUGAUGGUGCUCUUCCUGGUGCCUUGUGGUCACUUCCCAGUUUGCGAUUUCUCGAUGUAUCCCGCAACAAUUUUACAGGAACUCUACCGAGCCUGGGUUCAAAUGCUAGUGUUAGUGGCGCUGUGUUCAACCUUUCUCAUAAUCUGUUAUAUGGAAAUCUUACAUUUCCUGUUGGGAAAUUUGUCUCAAUCGAUUUGUCUGAUAAUUUUUUCCAAGGCAAGGUAUUAGAAGAUAGUCAAAGCAAUGAUACUCUUACUGGAAAUUGCCUACAGAUUGUACCAAAUCAAAGGAGUUUGCAGGAUUGUAGGCAGUUUUAUGAAGAGAGGGGUUUAAGUUUCGAUGAUUUUGGGGCCCUAGAACCAGCUCAGCCACCUUUCCUAGAACCUGAAUCAAAGAGCAAGAACCGAUUAACAUUUAUAUUGGUUGGGAUAUUUGGUGGACUCGGCUUCAUUGUGAUUUUGGUACUGGUUCUGGUAGUGCUCCUGAAAAUGUGCAAUAAAGGCACAAAUCAACGUGGAAGUGCAAAUGUUGGGCCUGUUCCAGAAGGAGAUGACCCUUCACUCCCCAAAGAUCUCAUCGAUGCAUCAGGUCGAGGAGAUUCAUUUACGUAUGAGCAGAUUCUCCAUUCCACUUCUGCUUUCAGUGAAGCAAAUCUUAUAAAACAUGGACACUCUGGAGACAUAUACCGAGGAUCCUUGGCAAGUGAAACCCCUGUAGUUAUCAAAAGGGUAAAUUUGCAUUCCGUAAAGAAAGAAUCAUACACGAUAGAAAUGGAUUUAUUCAGCAAGGUUUCACAUACGAGAUUGGUGCCACUUUUGGGUCACUGCUUGGAGCAUGAGAGCGAGAAGCUUCUGGUUUACAAAUACAUGCCAAAUGGAGACUUGGCUAGUUCCUUGCACAGGGUUACCAACUUAGGAGAUGGCAAUUUACAGUCCCUGGAUUGGAUUACAAGAUUAAAAAUUGCAAUUGGAGCUGCUGAAAUCCUAGCUUACAUCAUGAAUGCAGCCCGCCACUCGUUCACAGAGAUGUUCAAGCUAGCAGUAUACUUCUCGAUGAUAAAUUUGAGGUCCGGCUUGGAAGCUGGAGUGAGGUCCGUGUGCAAGAAGGGGAUGGUAACCCAAAUGUGAUCACGAGAUUGUUGCGGAAACAACAAACCUUGGAACAAAGCCCUUAUGCCUCGGCAUCAGCUGCUUGCUCAUAUGAUGUAUACUGUUUUGGGAAGGUUUUGCUUGAGCUUGUAACGGGUAAGCUUGGCAUCAGCAAAUCUGAUGAUUCGUCUACAAGGGAGUUGUUGGAUCACACGGUGCGCUACAUCAGCAUAUAUGACAAGGAACUGUUGAAUAAGAUUGUUGACCCAUCUCUGAUAGUAGAUGAAGAUCUAUUGGAAGAAGUUUGGGCCAUGGCAAUCGUGGCCAGGUCCUGCCUCAACCCCAAGCCGUCUAAGCGUCCCCCGAUGAAAUACAUCCUUAAGGCAUUGGAAAACCCUCUAAAGGUGGUGAGGGAAGAGAGUUCCAGCUCUGCAAGGCUGCGAACAGCUUCAUCGAGAAGAUCCUGGAGCACUGCUUUCUUUGGUAGCUGGCAGCAGAGCUCAUCAGAGAGCGCCACCGCUCCUGGCCACACAAGCAGAGAGAGUAUCAGUGGCUUAAAACGGGAAUCCUCUGCAUCACACAAAAGGUUAUCAAGUGAAAUAUUCCCUGAGCCAAUUGAAAUACAAGAUCUCGAGCGACAAGAUGAACAUUAGAUAUGAAGAACAACGACAUAGUCUUCACACAGGCCACCAGUAUCUGCGUUAAGCUCUGCAUCUGCGAUUCUGCGUUAAGCUCGAUGACGAUGCCGGAUAAAGAUUACGAGCUGUCUGGCGGAUUGGAAAUGCCUAGUGAAGUUGGUCUAAAAGUUGGGCCAGAUUGUUAUUGGUAUGAUAAGCUUGUUAAAUUGAAGAAAACAAGCUGCAAAGCUCAGUGACAGAUGCUUUAUAAAAGAUCCCACGAGUGGAGUAUGAAUUUGUUACAGAUUGGAAAUUGGUAAUAAAUCUUACACAAGAAUUUUCGUGGUUGGCAAAAUUCAAACUUCAUCAUAUACAAAAGCAUUUGCACUGUUUCUGGAA
This is a non-coding RNA of Malus domestica (apple), 3470 nucleotides long. The record is from RefSeq and is a predicted model, not a curated record. NCBI's taxonomy places the organism in Eukaryota, Viridiplantae, Streptophyta, Magnoliopsida, Rosales, Rosaceae.